AGCCAUGCGAGUCAACGCCGAAAGGCGUGGCAUACGGCUCAGUAACACGUAGUCAACAUGCCCAAAGGACGUGGAUAACCUCGGGAAACUGAGGAUAGACCGCGAUAGGCCAAGGUUUCUGGAAUGAGCCAUGGCCGAAAUCUACAUGGCCUUUGGAUUGGACCGCGGACGAUCAGGCUGUUGGUGUGGUAAUGGCCCACCAAACCUGUAACCGGUACGGGCUUUGAGAGAAGGAGCCCGGAGAUGGGCACUGAGACAAGGGCCCAGGCCCUAUGGGGCGCAGCAGGCGCGAAACCUCUGCAAUAGGCGAAGGCCUGACAGGGUUACUCUGAGUGAUGCCCGCUAAGGGUAUCUUUUGGCACCUCUAAAAAUGGUGCAGAAUAAGGGGUGGGCAAGUCUGGUGUCAGCCGCCGCGGUAAUACCAGCACCCCGAGUGGUCGGGACGUUUAUUGGGCCUAAAGCAUCCGUAGCCGGUUCUACAAGUCUUCCGUUAAAUCCACCUGCUUAACAGAUGGGCUGCGGAAGAUACUAUAGAGCUAGGAGGCGGGAGAGGCAAGCGGUACUCGAUGGGUAGGGGUAGAAUCCGUU
RNAcentral lists this ribosomal RNA (588 nucleotides) under uncultured archaeon. Its description in RNAcentral is "bacterial SSU rRNA". It matches the Rfam family "Archaeal small subunit ribosomal RNA", at positions 47 to 643 of the family's 1478-position model. The record is from RNAcentral.